Molecule: ribosomal RNA, 496 nt
Filed under: uncultured bacterium
Lineage: Bacteria
Description: partial 16S ribosomal RNA
Rfam family: Bacterial small subunit ribosomal RNA
Source: RNAcentral
AUGAACGCUGGCGGCGUGCCUAAUACAUGCAAGUCGAGCGCACAGACGAGGAGCUUGCUCCUCUGACGUUAGCGGCGGACGGGUGAGUAACACGUGGAUAACCUACCUAUAAGACUGGGAUAACUUCGGGAAACCGGAGCUAAUACCGGAUAAUAUAUUGAACCGCAUGGUUCAAUAGUGAAAGACGGUUUUGCUGUCACUUAUAGAUGGAUCCGCGCCGCAUUAGCUAGUUGGUAAGGUAACGGCUUACCAAGGCAACGAUGCGUAGCCGACCUGAGAGGGUGAUCGGCCACACCGGAACUGAGACACGGUCCAGACUCCUACGGGAGGCAGCAGUAGGGAAUCUUCCGCAAUGGGCGAAAGCUUGACGGAGCAACGCCGCGUGAGUGAUGAAGGUCUUCGGAUCGUAAAACUCUGUUAUUAGGGAAGAACAAAUGUGUAAGUAACUAUGCACGUCUUGACGGUACCUAAUCAGAAAGCCACGGCUAACUACGUG